CGCAUACACACGCAUUGGCUGUAGAGGUGGCUUACUAUGGGAAAUUAAUUGCUUAAAAACUUUUCUUGUGGUUGGACUUCUGAUUGAUUCUGAAUAUAAAAUAGAUAUGCAUGUAUUUUCCAAAGCACAAAGUCUCUAGUAUUUGAAAUACGCAUUUUACAAAUGUGAUGUUGAGGGGGUAAAUUAUAGGUGAGGGGUAAAUUUUGACAAAAAUCGAAAUUCUAUAAAGCACAUAUGAAUCUACAUUAAAAAUUUAGGGUAUCUAGUUUUAAAGAUGUAGCAGAUCUAAACUUAUCACUGGUUUCGAUAAUUAUUUUAAUCGAUAACAAAACAAAGCGACAAUUAUCGAUAUUUGAAGCAAAACUCGAUAUGCGCGUGGUAUACACGAACCUAGGUAAAAGGCGUAAUCAGUCAUUUUCAUCGGUAGUCAAUCACUUUGUUGGUCCUCCUUUAGACUGAAUACCCGUCUGCAAACGUCUUCUCGUGCUAAUCAUUGGCCUUGACGUUUCAUAAGUGGUGGUAUUGGGGUGAUUGACUACCGAUGAAAAUGACUGAUUACGCCUAUUGUGCCAAUACUUUUUUGACGAAAAUUUGGGCCUAUAUUUAUAUUUUAGUUCUGCGCAAGUGAACCAAACUAGAAAUUUAAUUUUUUUUGUUAAAUAUUAUUAGAAAACAUGGUUUUAACUAAUACCGUUUUUCAUUUAUUUAUAGUUUGAUUUAUCAAGUGUGCCAAUACUUUUUUGGCCCACUGUACAAUCUGUCAAAUAAGUACCCGGAAAUUUCAAAUAAAACACAAACAAAAACAAAAUAGGCCCCUUCUGGACAAUACACUUCUUCCAACGGGAAAUCUAAUCAUCGAAACACUAUUUAAAGCUAUAUUCCGGGAUGGCCUUCAGUUCUCGUUGUGAAUUAGUUUUCAUGUCUUUAAUGCUCUCAAAACGGGAUCCACAAAGUAGUAAUUUGAGUUUUUGAAACAGGAAAAAUUCACACGGGGCCAUAUCUGGAGAGUACGGUGGUUGUUCGAUGAUAUUUGUUAAAUUCUUGUUCAAAAACUCGUUCAUAAUGUUCGCUUUGUGCGCUGGUGCAUUACCGUGGUGCAAAAUUAGACUGAUAUUCUGCCACAAAUUUGGUCUUUUGCGACGAAGAUUCUUGCUCAAACGCCUCAUAACGCCAAGAUAAUAUUUGGCCCUUCAGUAAGAAUAAACAACACCACGAAUUCUUCAGUUGAAGAAGUCGAAGGUUGUCCUGAACGUGGUAAAUCGUUCACUUCUCCUCGCCCUUUGAACGAUUUAUACCUAAAGUUUUUGACGUGGUUGAAUCACCAAAUGUUUUUUUUUUUUUCAACAUUUCCAACGGGAACUUCUUUGACAGAAUGGACUCUAGCUGAGCCGGUGUUGCAGCUUGGAGCUUGAUAUUGUGAAGUCCAAUUUAAUUCAAAUUGAAACUGGGCAUAAAGGAUGACUUCAGAUUUGACCAAGAUGAUGUCUCGAAACGCACUGCGGAAAUUAUCCAGAAAUGGCUGAUAUGGAAAUGUUCCAGCCCAGUCAUCAGAAAUAAAUGUAAUCGAAAAUUUGUAGUCGAUUUUGGAAAUAAACAUUCGCAAAUACAA
Molecule: long non-coding RNA, 1609 nt
Organism: Drosophila mojavensis
Lineage: Eukaryota; Metazoa; Arthropoda; Insecta; Diptera; Drosophilidae
Exons: 2
Source: RefSeq, a predicted model, not a curated record